UCCAUAUAUCGGUCUAGUGGCUAGGAUACCUGGCUCUCACCCAGGAGGCUCGGGUUCGAUUCCCGGUAUGGGAA
This is a non-coding RNA of Ctenocephalides felis (cat flea), 74 nucleotides long. The record is from the annotation of a RefSeq genome assembly. Lineage: Eukaryota; Metazoa; Arthropoda; Insecta; Siphonaptera; Pulicidae.